CCUGGUAGUCCACGCCCUAAACGAUGUCAACUAGUUGUUGGGGAUUCAUUUCCUUAGUAACGUAGCUAACGCGUGAAGUUGACCGCCUGGGGAGUACGGUCGCAAGAUUAAAACUCAAAGGAAUUGACGGGGACCCGCACAAGCGGUGGAUGAUGUGGAUUAAUUCGAUGCAACGCGAAAAACCUUACCUACCCUUGACAUGGUCGGAAUCCUGCYGAGAGGCGGGAGUGCUCGAAAGAGAACCGGCGCACAGGUGCUGCAUGGCUGUCGUCAGCUCGUGUCGUGAGAUGUUGGGUUAAGUCCCGCAACGAGCGCAACCCUUGUCCUUAGUUGCUACGCAAGAGCACUCUAAGGAGACUGCCGGUGACAAACCGGAGGAAGGUGGGGAUGACGUCAAGUCCUCAUGGCCCUUAUGGGUAGGGCUUCACACGUCAUACAAUGGUCGGAACAGAGGGUUGCCAACCCGCGAGGGGGAGCUAAUCCCAGAAAACCGAUCGUAGUCCGGAUUGCACUCUGCAACUCGAGUGCAUGAAGCUGGAAUCGCUAGUAAUCGCGGAUCAGCAUGCCGC
This 569-nucleotide ribosomal RNA is filed under the name Burkholderia cepacia. RNAcentral's name for it is "bacterial SSU rRNA". It matches the Rfam family "Bacterial small subunit ribosomal RNA", at positions 786 to 1360 of the family's 1533-position model. The record is from RNAcentral. Lineage: Bacteria; Pseudomonadati; Pseudomonadota; Betaproteobacteria; Burkholderiales; Burkholderiaceae.